Molecule: long non-coding RNA, 2875 nt
Organism: Sphaeramia orbicularis (orbiculate cardinalfish)
Lineage: Eukaryota; Metazoa; Chordata; Actinopteri; Kurtiformes; Apogonidae
Exons: 2
Source: RefSeq, a predicted model, not a curated record
ACGGUCAAGGAACGAUUUGCGUCUGCAGACGAUGUAAGUCGCGCAUGUGUAGAAGCAUUUAUCUCUGUCAACCAUCUUUUACGACUUGCUACAGCAGCGUCGCUAGGACAAAUCACUGUUGUUUGAGUCAAAUUAUGUAAAUGUACAGAGACUUGACUUUACCUUCAAGGAGUAACUUUCUAGUGAUCAGAAUUGAUUUGCAGUCACUUGAUAUGCCUACUUUUGGUUUCUUUCACAGCUGAGAGUCUAUCCAGCUGACAAACACUUGGAUCUAAAUCUGUGGGAAACUGAGCAGUGGAGGGUCAUUGCGGCUCUGCGAGGUUGCCGUAGCGACUCACAAAAGCUGGCCAACAGACAUAAAUGCAUCUACACAUGCACAACUCACAUCUUCCAGAGACUCAAAUCAUCCCUUGACAGUCUGCUACCUUAAACCAAGGAUGCACUGGUUGGAGACUUGGCAGAACAUAUCCCAUGAUACAUUUUGUGCUACUCUCCAGUUCUACAGCGGUUUCUGUUAUGGCUUACCUCAGAAAUGUUUUAUUGAGUCGAUGACCAUCACCAGAUGAUGUGAUACAAUGUUGGAACACACGCCGGAGGCAGAAUAGUGAGAAAGUACAUCUUGAUAUGGGAUUUUGAAGAAUAUACAAAAUGUCUAAAAAAUAGAAAUUACUUGUAAACAGUUGUACAAAUGUACUGAAAUUAAAUUGAGUGACAUAUUGUGGUGGAUUCUGGAAAUACAUUAGGGAGCCGAUGGCAGAAAUACAAGUUCAUAAGUACGGAACUGUUCCAAUAACAGAUAGACUUGUGUUCUUAGGAAGUCCGUUCUCUGGGACCGUUCUUACCAAGACUGUACUCGCGGAGUUCACAAGACGGUACUCGCAAACUUGAUAAUGAGAAACAUCCUAAAUUGACAGUAGCACGAAAUGCAUCUUGGGAUAUUUGCUUACCAAGUCCACAUGAAUCACCAUCCACAGCAUCCUUAAUUUAAAAGACAAGAACAACAUCUGGAAAUUCCGUCUGAUGUUGGUUUAUGCAAACUUUAAAUGGAACAGUACUUGGGCCCUGACUGAUGACGUUUCAAAAAUCACACAAAUAGAACAGACAAGAACGUGAAUUGAGAAACGCCUUAAGUCUCUUAAAGCCUUUGUCUUUGUGGAUCAAACAUGUUCUGGUUUACAUAAAAAGCUGAAUGAGAUUUUUUUUUUUCUUUGAGUUCAGACUCUAUUACCAAUCCAGGAAGUCAGAAAUGAGACCCUUUUUUUUUUUUUGCUUGAUUUGAUUAACAUAAUCGGAUCUAAUCUGGUUGUUUUGUGCUAAAAUCGUAGCAGUAGACGUGUUGUUUCAGACUGCAGUGUUUGUGAAAUCACAACGCGGAUCCAGUUAGAUUGUGAUGCCGAUGAACCCAGAGAUGUAUUACCUGGCUUACUGUGUUUUAGCCUUUGUCUUUGGCUUCUGAGUCACUGUUUUCCAGCUCUAAAAGGCAGGUUUUUGUUGUAUUUUUAAUGAAAUGUCCAGUGUAGACUGCCUCACCCAGCACCAUACUGCAGACAGACAUACUUAGACUCUAUGUAGAUUAAGCAUUUUGCAGCUAAAGAUCAGAAAAAGGCUUCAUGAAGAACCAAAAUAAAGAAAAAUCAUCAGGUGGGGAUACACAUGACUGAAUGAAACAUAAUAUAGCUGCAUAACUGCCUGAUGUGAGCAACCAUUUUCAAACAGGAGGUGAUAAAAUGUUGACGUUGUGUUUUUUAGCCUGUUUUGGUGUCCCCAAGAGGCCAGAAACUAUUGAAUCCCAUCCCGUUUCACACAGCUUUUUAGUUUUGUCAAGAGGGGAGAUCAUUUUCUUUUCUUUUGGAUUACAAACAGCUGCAACUCGGGACACUUAGUACGAUUUUCUUAUUCAGAUGAAGCUCUGAAGGGUUGAGCUACGCCUUAAAACUGUCUUUUGUUUGACUUCUUCUGUGGUGUGGUGUUCAGGAAAAAAAAUACAGUACAGCAGGAGAGGAAGUGCACACAAGGAACAACAAAAAAGAGGGUUUUAUUGAAAUGUUUCCGUUUCAUACUUAACAGGACUGUACCGGCAGUGAAAAUAUGUGUAAAAGUGCAGAGGAAAGUCUGAUAUGGUCUGAAGUAUUUGCACUCUUACUCAUCCACAGCUCUGUUUUGUAUCAAACAGAAAUAUUAAAAUCCAGGCUGUUUUUGUUCUCUGUGUGAGACGUCCCUCUCUGUAUCAUUCAGAGGAAGGAAAUACUCUUUGAGGUUACUGGGAUGCCUUCAAACUGUGAUAAUUGUAGUUAAAUGACUUCCUGGGCUUUUCAACUAUUGCUGAGGAUUAAUAGGAUGCUGGUUUCUGCCUGUGACACGUAACCAUAAUGUAAAGAGGCUGAAACACAGCUCGUGGCUUUAACCAAAACCGAGUCAGUUGUUUCUGUCGAGAAUCAGGAUCAAAGAGCAGCGGUGGAUGCGAAUAGAAAAGAGGAGAGUUAAAAAUAUAUGGAUUGUCUAAAAAAAGAAACCGUGUAUGUGUGUGGGGGGGUGGGGUACUGAGUGAUCACAUCCCUGCUGGAUCUUUAAUCUGACAAAGAUCGGAGGAAAAGUAAUCCGAGAGAUAAGCAAACAUUCCACAAUGCCAUGUCAUAUACUGUACAGCGACCCCCUGACUGCCCCCUCCCGUCUCUCUUAACCCUUUCCCACCCCCUCUUCACCCCUCUCCAUCUGUCUUUCAGUAAUCACAAUACUACAGUAAUACUUUGGACCUGUUAACACUUUAACACACCUGUAUGUACAACUACUUUGUCAGUUAAGUAACCUUUAAGAAAAUAGGACAAAAAGAAAAAAGGAAAAAAAAAAAAAAUAAUAAAAUACAAGAAGUGCCGUA